Long non-coding RNA from Asparagus officinalis (garden asparagus), 506 nucleotides. RefSeq lists it as uncharacterized. The transcript is spliced from 3 exons. The record is from RefSeq and is a predicted model, not a curated record. Lineage: Eukaryota; Viridiplantae; Streptophyta; Magnoliopsida; Asparagales; Asparagaceae.
UAAGGCGGCGGAGCUGCACCCGGUGCCGGAGGAGGAGCACGAGUGUCAUCCUGAUGCUGAUGAUGAGCAGAAGGAUGUUUGAUGAAUUUCCAGUUUACGGCGUGGUCCUCUUCAGUCAAGAUGGUGGAAUGGGACGCUGAGUUGCAUUUAAGAAAACAGUCUCCCUUGCGUAUAGAGAAUGCAGUCUGCUAUUGUAUUAAAAGUAGUUGUAGUCUUACUGUGAUGCAUGUUUAGAUGCUUAUCAUCUGUUUCUCGUGAAACUGGAUAAUUUGUGGGGGUCUCAUUGUACCAUCAGAAUUAUUUGCCCCUUCACGGUUACAGCUUAAAGGUCCUACUAAAAUUAGGAUGUCCAGUGAUGCCCUUUUAGAACUGGUGGUGGUUUAUGUAACUUUACUGUUUUCACCAUAAGAUGUUUUAUUGCGUCCAGUGUUGCCCCUCUGGUUUUGGUGGCUGUUUAUACAAUUUUAUGGUUACUGUAAGAGGCAAAUUUGUUGCUUUUAGUGUUC